AGCUUAGUUCACUCAAAGAUUUUCAUGUGGGAGCAAAAUUCGACAUUGGCGAAUUUCGUUACGUACAUACAUAGCAAAAAUGAAAUGUCAUAAGGUAUCAAAACAUUUCACUGUGAAAAUGGACGGGACGUAACGUCGGCGAAAACAGUUUUGUUGCUGAAGCUGGGCUUCAUAUAACACCAGAAAGCAAUCAGUGACAAAUUCUUUGCACAGUUAUCACUAUAAAGAACAACCUAUACCUGGAAGCAAUAAAAAGCACUAAUCUUGGAAUAUUCUCGUUGGUGGGAGCCUGUGGAAACGCCUGUGGAAUAUAUUUAUUCAUGGAGUACAAAAAUAUUUGAUCGCCGAUAAUGCUGAUCUGUGCAAAGGGAAUUAGUGUUUUGAAUUCAUCGCUACAGUAUUACGAAGUCGAUCGCCGAGCAUGCCACAUUAGAAACAGUGACAGUUCUUGUGCUUUCAACAUUCUUGAAUUCAAUCAGAUAAAGGACAAAUCGGACGACACAGUAUAUAUACGUGUUGAAUUUGAUCGAAACUGUGUAUACGAACUCUGAGUUAGUUCCAUGAUGUUAGUGUUAGGCUUUCAUUUUUCAAAAGGAUCAAACUACAACAAAGUUUCAAAGAUUCAAAGGAACUAGCUACCUUCAGCAAUACUCAUCUUAACAUUCGAUUUCCUUGAAUGACUAACGAGUUGUCUCAAAGUCUUGAAAGGCAAAUAUCGUUCGGUGUUAGUAUUAGAGAACUUUGUAUCGAUUUUCCAGAACAGUUUCAUCAGUGUCAGU
Long non-coding RNA from Toxorhynchites rutilus septentrionalis, 779 nucleotides. RefSeq lists it as uncharacterized. The transcript is spliced from 3 exons. The record is from RefSeq and is a predicted model, not a curated record. NCBI's taxonomy places the organism in Eukaryota, Metazoa, Arthropoda, Insecta, Diptera, Culicidae.